CUGCACAGCGCGUCUUGCAGCGGACUGGAGCCUGCUUAGUCAGCGCCACAUCUGGCCCGUUUAGAUUUCUGCUUGUGUCUCCUCUGCCGGUUCUCCUGGGGUGUUGCUUAAGCAACCGCCUUGUGGGGGUGGGGUGGGUUUGGGCGGGGCGAGUGCGUAGCGCUGGUGUUUCUUUUUCUGGCGCGCGGUGGUGGUGGUUCUUGCGGUUAGGCUGUGGUGUAGGUUGGUGCUUGGGUUAGGUCUGGCGGUGUUUUUGUGCAACCCCUCCCGGGGGGCGGGGGGGCCAGCCUCCUGCUCUGUCUGCCGGGUCGGGGUGGGGUGGGGUGGGAUGGAUGGGGGUGGUUGGUGGCGGUUUUCGAGGUGUUUGUUUUCUGUUUUUCUUCUCUUUUCUUCUCUUCUUGCCCUGUCAGGGUUCUGGUCUCGGGGACCAGGCUGCUUUCAGGCAGCAGGGGGGCAGCGCGUCUGCCCCUGUUCAACCUUGUAAGGAUGAUUCCUCAAAAAAAAUAAGCUGGACACUCCAGGAAGAUGUGCGUUAGGCUGGCCCACGCCCGCGGGCCAGGUGGCCCGCAGGCGGGGUGAGGACAGUGCGCCCCCAACCCCCCGCACCCCGUGGUCACCCGUGGCCGAAUGCCCUUGCCCGCCCUGUACAGCCCGCAAGGCAGGUAAGCAUGUUGCAGCCAGUACACCAGCACCUUUGCCCCCCGACUGGCGUGGCUGUCCCACAGCCUCCGCCACGUACCCCGCAGAAGGGACGCAUCCGGGGACGGCAUGCGAGGGUCGCCCUCCACUGCCGCCGCUGCUGCCGCCGCCGCCGUGGCAGGCCCAGUGCUAGGUCCCGCCCCGCCCGCCGCCUGCUCCUGCAGCCGCGCGGACCGCCGCGGCCCCUCACCCGACUGCUGGGACGGGGACGCAUACGACUGCAGUUCUCUCGCCGGCGUGUUCUGCAGCCCGGCUGCCGCGGAGGUGCGGUGGAGCCAGGGGUCCAGAGCCACCGGGUUAUUGUGGAAGUGCUGCGCCGCCGUGGUGGUCAGCUGCGCCGCUGCACGCUGCCACUCCGCCUCCCGCUCCGCCAGCCGCGACUGUGCCGCCGGCUGGGUCCCCGAACCCCCCGCCUGCUGAGCUGGCGCCGGUUCUCCUGGGGUGUUGCUUAAGCAACCGACUUGUGGGGGUGGGGUGGGUUUGGGCGGGGCGAGUGCGUAGCGCUGGUGUUUUCUUUUCUGGCGCGCGGUCGUGGUGGGUCUUGCGGUUAGGCUGUGGUGUAGGUUGGUGCUUGGGUUAGGUCUGGCGGUGUUUUUGUGCAACC
RNAcentral lists this long non-coding RNA (1303 nucleotides) under Chlamydomonas reinhardtii. RNAcentral describes it as "long non-coding RNA (CREI_LNC000131)". The record is from RNAcentral. Lineage: Eukaryota; Viridiplantae; Chlorophyta; Chlorophyceae; Chlamydomonadales; Chlamydomonadaceae.